GACGGACGCUGGCGGCGUGCUUAACACAUGCAAGUCGAGGGGCAGCAUGGUCUUAGCUUGCUAAGGCCGAUGGCGACCGGCGCACGGGUGAGUAACACGUAUCCAACCUGCCGUCUACUCUUGGACAGCCUUCUGAAAGGAAGAUUAAUACAAGAUGGCAUCAUGAGUUCACAUGUUCACAUGAUUAAAGGUAUUCCGGUAGACGAUGGGGAUGCGUUCCAUUAGAUAGUAGGCGGGGUAACGGCCCACCUAGUCUUCGAUGGAUGGGGGUUCUGAGAGGAAGGUCCCCCACAUUGGAACUGAGACACGGUCCAA
Molecule: ribosomal RNA, 315 nt
Filed under: uncultured bacterium
Lineage: Bacteria
Description: bacterial SSU rRNA
Rfam family: Bacterial small subunit ribosomal RNA
Source: RNAcentral